RNAcentral lists this ribosomal RNA (649 nucleotides) under Alternaria arborescens. RNAcentral describes it as "LSU rRNA". It matches the Rfam family "Eukaryotic large subunit ribosomal RNA", at positions 25 to 689 of the family's 3401-position model. The record is from RNAcentral. Lineage: Eukaryota; Fungi; Ascomycota; Dothideomycetes; Pleosporales; Pleosporaceae.
CCGCGGGACUUAAGCAUAUCAAUAAGCGGAGGAAAAGAAACCAACAGGGAUUGCCCUAGUAACGGCGAGUGAAGCGGCAACAGCUCAAAUUUGAAAUCUGGCUCUUUUAGAGUCCGAGUUGUAAUUUGCAGAGGGCGCUUUGGCUUUGGCAGCGGUCCAAGUUCCUUGGAACAGGACGUCACAGAGGGUGAGAAUCCCGUACGUGGUCGCUGGCUAUUGCCGUGUAAAGCCCCUUCGACGAGUCGAGUUGUUUGGGAAUGCAGCUCUAAAUGGGAGGUACAUUUCUUCUAAAGCUAAAUAUUGGCCAGAGACCGAUAGCGCACAAGUAGAGUGAUCGAAAGAUGAAAAGCACUUUGGAAAGAGAGUCAAACAGCACGUGAAAUUGUUGAAAGGGAAGCGCUUGCAGCCAGACUUGCUUACAGUUGCUCAUCCGGGUUUCUACCCGGUGCACUCUUCUGUAGGCAGGCCAGCAUCAGUUUGGGCGGUAGGAUAAAGGUCUCUGUCACGUACCUCCUUUCGGGGAGGCCUUAUAGGGGAGACGACAUACUACCAGCCUGGACUGAGGUCCGCGCAUCUGCUAGGAUGCUGGCGUAAUGGCUGUAAGCGGCCCGUCUUGAAACACGGACCAAGGAGUCUAACAUCUAUGCGA